AGGAGGACUGAGAAAGUUUGGCAGCCAGAUCAUUGUUGCCACAACUGGUUAUUCCCUCCAAUAUUAAGUGGCAAAUGACUCUUUUCUAACAGCCUAACUCUACUCUAGGCUGUACGUGGUUAGUUGCCUACACUAC
Small nucleolar RNA from Engraulis encrasicolus (European anchovy), 136 nucleotides. RefSeq annotates it as small nucleolar RNA SNORA47. NCBI's taxonomy places the organism in Eukaryota, Metazoa, Chordata, Actinopteri, Clupeiformes, Engraulidae. The transcript has a single exon. The record is from RefSeq and is a predicted model, not a curated record.